Molecule: long non-coding RNA, 653 nt
Filed under: Mytilus galloprovincialis (Mediterranean mussel)
Lineage: Eukaryota; Metazoa; Mollusca; Bivalvia; Mytilida; Mytilidae
Source: RNAcentral
GCUCAAUUAAAUUUCUAGCCCAAUUUUUUUUUCUUCGAAAUUUCACUUCAAGAGAAUAUUACCUCUAAUUCUGCAACCUGCAUUUACUCAAUCUGCACCAUAAGCCACUAUUCCAAUGUCUUAGUCUGUAUUAAUUUUUGUUUAGACAAGCAAGUAUUUGCAAAACUUUGAUAAGCAGAUAAGACUUAAGACACAUAAGAAAAAUGUUGAAAUAUUGUUAUUCAUGCUAGUAGUUGGAUUAAAUUUUGGUGCAGACUGUUUACUGAAGGAUGUGUUUGUUAACUUUUAAGUAGAUGCAUGUUUGAAAACUACCAUUUGGGUCUGAAGCACAUUGUCAGGUACAAAUAUUACACAAGAGUUUUUUUGGUUUUUUUUUUUUUUAUUGUUGAGCUCCUUUAUUUUCUAUGAGGUCUCUCAGCCUCCCCUCUGUCUGUUAUUAAAGUUCUUAGAUCUGGCAUUAAGGUAGUGGAAUUCAAAUUGCUUGUAAGAAAGAUAACUAAUUUAUUCCCAGCUGGAGUUUUUUUAUGCCAUCUCUUAAAUCUGAAAGCUGUUGACAUGUAAUGAAUAUGUUACAUUCUCUACAUAUCUCAGAAUAAAUAACAAUAUAUUUGUGCAAAAAUAUUUUCAGAAUGAUUUCUUUAUUUGGACCAACC